CAGAUAAUGGAGGCAUACAAUCUGGACAAGAAAAUUGGCUUCCAGGUGGAAAAAUCAAAAUUAGAAACAGAACUGUUAGAACCCAAAACUAAGAAUUUGUCAAGAAUGUAUAACUUGCUGCUGAAAUGGAACACUCAGGAUGAAACGGUGAAAUCUGCUAUGAUUAAAUGGGCACAAGACGUUGGACACAACAUUAUGUUUGCUGACUGGGAACAGUUAUGGACCACAGGUAUGAAGUUUACGGCAUGUAAUGCCCUAAGAGAGAAUAUUAUGAAAAUGAUAUACAGGUGGUACAUAACCCCAGUUAAGCUUGCAAAAAUCUACCAUUUGCCUGAUAAUAAAUGUUGGAAAUGUAAAGAAACUGAAGGUACAUUUUUUCACCUUUGGUGGACGUGCCCAAAGAUUAAGGUUUUCUGGGAGAUGAUAUAUAAUGAAUUAAAAAAGGUAUUUAAAUAUACCUUCUUGAAGAAACCAGAGGCCUUUCUCCUGGGCAUAGUCGGCCAAUCGGUGUUAAAAAGGAUAGAACUUUCUUUAUGUAUGCAACAACAGCAGCAAGAAUACUCAUCGCAAAGUAUUGGAAGACACAAGAGCUACCCACACUGGAGGAAUGGCAGAUGAAAUUGAUGGACUAUAUGGAAUUGGCGGAAAUGACUGGCAGAAUCUGUGACCAGAGAGAAGAGUCGGUGGAAGAAGAUUGGAAGAAAUUCAAAGAUUACUUACAGAAAUAUUGCAAAAUUAAAGAAUGUUAGAGUGAUGUUGGAUUGAAAUUAAGUGGCUUCUCGCUGUACAGGCUUUAAAGUUACAUAUAGAUCAAGAUUAAGGAUUAGGAUUAAAAAGGAUAAAAGAAUGGAAAAUUGGUUUUUAAUAGGUAAAAAUUUAAUGUUAUAUUAUAUUAAGAUUAAGGAUUGGGAUUAAAAAGGAGGGAAAGGAAUUGCUGGACAAACAAACUGAAUUGGAAUACAAAAGAGGGAGGUAUGAGGAGGUCCGGGAAAUAAGUAAAUGUAAAAGUAGUGAUGAAAAGAUGGAAUUGUUUUUAACUGUUUUUUCUUUUUUCUUUUUGUAUCCUGUAAUGUGUAUUUUUCUUUUUCUUUUUAAAUUCUUUUUUUUUAUUAAUGUGUCUCUUUUCAUGUGAAACUUUAAUAAAUAUCAUUUAAAAAGAAAAAAAAAGAAAAACUGUUAUACAGCUUUAGGAGACAGGCAGAUCCGUACCUUGUUAACCAGGCCUUUGGCUGAUUGACAUGUAACGUCCUUUUAAAACGUCGUGGGGAGGGGGGGUUAUAGAUGUUUAUUUUUUUUUAUAUUGUGCUUUUAUGUUGUAACCAUCCUUAGACCUGUGGGUGCAGGGAUUAGGAGCCUACCCUUAGAGGCCGAGGGGUCUUUGCCCCCCAAUAAUAUAUUUGAAGGCCCCCCCCCCAGUUGCUAGUCAUCGCAAUUCCAAGGGCAUGCUUGCAUCAUGUGAUUGAUUGUGCAAGGCAGGCCUUACCUGGCCCCUCCCACCAAUAUUUUUUUCAAUUCAGCACCACUUGGUCGAGUAUUAUACAAAUUAAAUAAAGACAUACUGUAAAUUGCCUUCCUUUGCACAUGUUCCAGCUUGUCAAUAUCCUUAUUUAUUAUCAUUUUUUAAUAUUUAUGUGCCCUUCAUCUGAAGAUUUCACAAUAUAAACAUAGAAGAUGAAAGCAUGGCUUUCUCAAAAACAAGUCAAGCCAGAGAAAUCUCUCCUCCCCUUUUUUUGGAUGAAGUUACAAACUUUGUUGAUCAGGGGAGAGCUGUUAAAAUAGCGCAUCUUGAUUUCAGUAAGGCUAUUGACAAAGUCCCCCCAUGAAAUAUUUACAUGGAAGCUGGUAAUAUGUGGGCUGAACGAGGAAACUGUUAUGUGGAUUUGACUGACCGAACCCAAAGAGGGGUCCUUCAUGGUUCCUCCUCAUCCUGGGGAAAAGUGACAAGAGGGGUGCUGCAGGGUUCUGUCCUGGGCCCGUUGUUGUUCAACGUCUUUAAAAAUGACUUGGAUGAAGGAACUGAGGGGAUGCUCAUCCCAUUUGCAGACGACACCAAAUGGGAAGUGGAGGCCAAUGUGGCAGAAGGCAGAAUCGGAUCAAGGGCAGGAAUAGUACCACUUUAUUCUGCCUUGGUCAGGCCUCACCUAGAAUACUGUGUUGAAUUCUGGGCAUCAACAUUUAAGUAUCCAAAAGGUGGGGGAACACAGUCCAUAUUCCUUUUAUAACAUGUGGCCAAUGUUUAUUGAAUACAUGUAUUUUUAAUACUGUUGUAGGAAUCCACCCAGCCCUCAGUAAUUGUUAUUAAACAUUAAAUAUGGGGCGCUUAAGCACUACCCGCCCCCCAAUCUCUCAGAGCGAAAAUACCUCUGUGGGCGGGAUCGAUAAAUAGGAUAGCUUGAAGAACACACCAGCCCUGUGUGUACCUAGAGAGAACCUCUGUAUAUAUAGGGAUAGUAAGUUGUCAUGGCAGUGAGUCGCAUAUGAGUGCAGUUCAUUUAUAAAGUUGGUUUUAUUCCAAGAAAAGAACAGAUUACCAGGAGCUCCUCUCCCGUGAGCUGGUCGCCAUUACGAUGAUGACUCAACUAAGUUCUCAGUGUCACGUUUCAUCCUACAAAUGCAACGUGGGAGGAAACUUCUCUUCAUACUCUGUGACGAAUCGCAUCCUUUUUCCUGUAAACCCCCCCCCCCCCCGCUCUUGAAUACUCAAAGGCUGGCCAGCCAUUUCUGAGAGGCUAUCUGUGGAGUUUGGCCUUUCACCUACAUUCUGGGAGAGUGUUUCCAUGACAAACCCCCCCUUUGCUCUGGGCCAUCUUCCAACCCUGGCAACUGCUUAGAAUCAGAAGCUUCCUGUAUCCUGACAUCAGUGUUUAUAUAGAGAAGAAAUAAAAAUGUCAACUAAUACCAAGAAAGGACAGCCAAACCCAACACUCCUUACUUUAACGGCAAGAUGCCGCUCCGUAGUGUUUGAGCUUAUUGUGGUGGUUUUUAAAAAAGAAUAAGCAGAGUAAAAAGAACAGGACUUUGAAAGGGAGAAGCUGCUGAGCUGCCUGCUGCUGCCUGCGUACUAAAAAUUUUGUGGACUGUGACUGGGUGACUUGACCUUGACACUUUGGAAUAGUUAUGGCUAAUGGGGUAGAUAAACCUGAGAAAAGCCAAGUUAAAGACAAAAGAGGCUCCAAAGACCAACUUUUGAAGAGUCGGUGAUGCAUAUGUUAACAGAAAUAAGAACAGAUGUUAAAGGAACCCAGCAGAAUGUACAGGAGCUAAAACAAGAAUUUACAGAUUUAAAAUCAGGUUUUCAAGAGGUCAGGGAAGAAGUUGCUGGUCACGGAAAAAAGACUGAUGGAAUUGGAAACAGUGAGAGUACUUGAUGUGGAGAGGACCCAACAGGAGGCGCUUAAUGCAAUUGCCUUCUUACAGAUGAAGGAACGUGAGAACCAACUGAGAGUGAGAGGCACACCUCAAUUGGAACAAGAUAAUCUUAAGGAUUGGCUAAAGGAGUUUGCAGCCUGCUGGGAUCUGGAAAAAGACGAGUUAAAUUCCUGGAUUGAGAUGGCCUAUAGGUUUGGGCCUAAGAAAGAUUCAAAAGUGGUAUAUGACUGUAUACUGGUUUUCAAGACAAAGGAAGAGAGAGACAGGAUUUUGAGCCUACAUUACGAAAAAGGUCGGAAGAUAAAAGACAAGCCAAUUGUUUUGUUCAAGGAGAUUCCAAAACACUUUUUGAAUUUAAGGAACAAUUACGUGGACCUGGCUGGAGCUCUGAGAAGGAAGAAUAUCUUCUUCAGGUGGGAGUUCCCAGAGGGCCUCUCCUUCAAAUUUCAAGGAAGGAAACAAAGAAUUAAGACUGUUGAAUAAAAAAUGAGGGUUUUGGGGAGGAAAAUGCUGAGGAACUUUGAUUGGAAAGUCCACAGGCAUCAGGGGCAGGUGCAGGGGCUCCCUAAUAUCACAAGAUAGCACUGAGAAUUUACUCUUGGAAUGUUAACGGCUUGAACUCACGACUAAAAAGGAUCCAAGUAUAUCAUGUGUUAGCAAAACAGAAUUUGGAUAUAAUUUGUCUGCAAGAAACUCAUGUCACCAGAUUACAUAGAAAAGUACUUCAGAAUAAGAGACUUGGACAGGAAUUCAUUUCAUCGGACAAAGUGAAGAAAAGAGGAGUGGUCUUCUAUUAAAGUAAAAUGGAAUCCUAGAAUGUUUAAAGAUGAGGAGGGAAGAUAUAUUGCAGUAGAAGUCAAGGCACAAGGCGAGAAAUAUUUGCUCUUGGGAAUUUAUGCACCAAAUGAUGGCAAAGCGGAAUUUUUUAAGAAUCUGGAAACAAGACUUCUGGAUUAUAUGGAUUACAAAUUGAUUUUGAUGGGAGAUUUGAAUGGUGUCGCAUCAAUGCUUAUGGAUAGAACACAGAGACAGAAAGUUAUGAAUUAUGGCAGACUACAGAAGGUCUUUUUUGAAAUGGUGGACAAAUUUGAUCUGUCAGACAUAUGAAGAGUGAGAAAUCCAGCAGAAAAAGCCUUCAUGUUCUAUGCCGAUGCAAAUCAAUCACCCUCAAGAAGUGACUAUUUAUGGAUAUCCAGAGACAUUGUUCCCACAGUAACCAAAGUUGAAAUAUGCCCAGACUCUGAUCAUAAUGCUGUGUUUUUGGAAAUGAAAAUAUUUCUGCAGGGAUCCUUCAAAUGGAGAAUGAAUGAUGAUUUGUUGAGGAAUGAACAGACAACUGGGAAAGCCCAAAAGACUCUUAAAGAUUACUUUGAGAUACGGAAUAAGAAAAUAGACAAUAUUUUGUCUCAAUUAAAAGAUAGAAGAAUUUGAGAUGUAACCCAAAGAACCUGCAGAUCCAAAAGGAAAUUAAAGCUUUACAGAUACAGUAUUCCCAGAAUAUAAACCAGGAAAUAGAAUGGAAAAUAAGGAUGAUGAGACAAAGGAAUUUUGAAUCUGCAAAUACAUGUGGAAAACUGCUUGCUUGGCAGUUAAAAAAGAGACAGAAACAAAGUACUAUUACUAAUAUUGUAUCAGAAGGAAAGUCUGUGGAGAACCUUGCAGAGAUAAGAAGAUGCUUUCAGAAGUAUUAUAAACAGCUGUAUAAAAGUGGAAAAGAAGAUAAAGAUAAAAUUGAGCAAUUUAAAUGGAUUGCAAAAAAUUCCCUAAGAUAAAAAGAUCCUGCUUAAUGGAUUGAUUACAAGACAAGAGGUUGAGAAUGCAAUAAAUCAGAUGCAGCUAGGCAAAGCACCAUGGCCAGAUGGUUUGUCAGCAAAGUACUAUAAGACCCUGAAAGAUUGGCUUAUUCAGCCAAUGAUGGACGUAUGCAACAAGAUAUUAAGAGGAGACAAAGCACCUGAAACCUGGAAAGAAGCUUUUAUAACCCUGAUGCCAAAACCAGAUCAAGAUAGAUCCAACGUGAAAAAUUAUAGACCAAUCUCACUACUCAAAGUGGAUUACAAAAUUUUUGCUAACCUUUUGGCCAAUAGGUUGAAGAAGGUGCUAACAGAUUAUAUUCACAAGGAUCAGGCAGGAUUUCUGCCUGGGAGACAUAUGAAAGAUAAUAUUAGGAAUAUAAUCAAUGUGUUAGAAAGGUUGGAUGUUAAAAAAAACCUCUAAAGCGAUGUUAAUGUUUAUUUAUGCUGAGAAGGCCUUUGAUAAUGUUUGUUGGAGUUUUAUGAAAAGGAAUUUAGAAAGUAUUGAGGUUGGGCAAGAAUUUUUAAAUGGUAUUAAUGCAAUCUAUUUUGAACAAAAAGCUAAAAUUAUAGUUAAUAAUGUGGUUUCAGAAGAAAUUAGAAUUGAGAAAGGAGGAGGAGGUUAAAGGAAUAACAGUAGGCUCUAAACAAUAUAUAGUGGUACCUCGGGUUAAGUACUUAAUUCGUUCCAGAGGUCUGUACUUAACCUGAAACUGUUCUUAACCUGAAGCACCACUUUAGCUAAUGGGGCCUCCUGCUGCUGCCAUGCCGCCGGAGCACGAUUUCUGUUCUCAUCCUGAAGCAAAGUUCUUAACCUGAAGCACUAUUUCUGGGUUGGUGGAGUCUGUAACCUGAAGCGAAUGUAACCUGAAGCGUAUGUAACCCGAAGUACCACUGUAAGUUAAAAGCCUUUGCUGAUGAUCUGGUGUUAACUUUAGAAGACCCAGACUCCAUUGCAGUGAAAGCACUGGAGCUGAUUCAGGAGUUCGGACAAGUAGCAGAAUUCAAGUUAAAUAAGAGCAAAACCAAAGUGUUGGGGGGGAAACUUAGAUAAUGAGGAGAGAAAAAGCCUUCAGGAAAGACAGGCCUUGUUUUUGUGCAGAAAGUGAAAUAUUUGGGUGUGAAUUUAUCAGUGAAAAUUUUGAAUUUAUAUAAAGAUAAUUAUGAGAAACUAUGGAAUGAAAUUAAGAGAGAACUUGAGAGCUGGUCAAAUUUAAAAUUGUCAUUAAUGGGCCGAAUAUCGGUGGUUAAGAUGAACGUAUUGCCAAAGAUGUUUUUAUUCCAAGCUUUACCAAUUAUUGACAGUGUUAGACGUUUUAAAGAAUGGCAGAAAGCAUUGUCUAAAUUUAUCUGGCAGGGGAAAAACCCCAGAAUUAAAGAUAAAAUAUUAACAGAUGCAAAAGAGAGAGAUGGAUUUUUCCUAAAAGAUUUGAAGAUUUAUUUUGAGGCAGCAGCUUUCUGCUGGAUUAAGGAAUGGAUUCAAAUAGAUAAUGCUGAUGUGUUAGAUUUGGAAGGAUUUGACAAUGUAUUUGGUUGGCAUGCAUACUUGUGGGAUGACAAGAUAUUGGCUCAUAAAGGUUAUAAAAAUCAUGUAAUUAGAAAAUCUUUAUAUAAUGUAUGGAUAAGAUAUAAAGCUCUCUUGCAAAGGAAAACACCCAGAUGGUUUUCACCAAUGGAAGCAAACGCACAGAAAAAGUUGAAUAUGGAGAGUAAAUGGUUGAAAUAUGCUGAUUUACUAGUGAAAGAUAAUGAAGAAUUUAAAUUAAGACCAUUUGAUAAAAUUAAAGAUAAAUUGGAUGGAUGGUUACAAUGUUAUCAGAUUAAUGAACUAUAUAAACUUGAUAAGAAAAAUGGUUUUGCAACAGAAAAAUCUAAAUUGGAAACGGAAUUGUUAGAUACCAAUGUUAAAAAUCUCUCUAAAAUGUAUAAUUUGUUGUUAGAAUGGCAUACAAAGGACGAACAAGUUAAAUCUGUGAUGAUGGACUGGGCAAGAGAUGUUGGACACAAUAUAAUGUUGGCAGAUUGGGAAAGGCUGUGGAAGAAAGGGGUUAAGUUUACUGCAUGCACUGUAUUAAAAGAAAAUAUUAUGAAAAUGCUGUAUAGAUGGUACUUAACCCUGGUGAAAUUAGCAAAGAUGUAUCAUACAAAUAAUAACUUGUGUUGGAAAUGCAAAGAAAAAGAAGGUACUUUCUAUCAUAUGUGGUGGACGUGUCCUAAGGUGAAAGACUUCUUGGAAAAGAUAUAUAAUGAGUUGAAAGAAAUGUUGAAAAAUACAUUUAAUAAAAAACCAGAAGCCUUUCUACUUGGAAUAAUAGGACUGGAAUUGCCCAAAAAAGAUGUUAGACUGUUUUUGUAUGCCGCUACAGUGGCAAGACUUUUAUUAGCCAAAAAUUGGAAAUCACAAGAGAUACCAACAAUAGAAGAAUGGCAGAUGAAGAUGUUGAACUUUUUGGAGCUGGCCGGCCUGACUGGAAGAAUCCGUGACCAGAAAGGAGACACAAGAGGACUGGAAGAAAUGUAAAGACUAUUUAGCUAAAGAUUGUAAUAUAAGAUAAAGAGAAAUUUCUUGGAAGUAAUAAUUAGGCUUAGGAGUAGAAUAAGUAUAUGUUGUUAAUAAACAUUAAGAAUUAGAAUAUUAAUAAAGUUGUUAGUAAAUGAAAGAAGUUAAUAUUAUUAGAAAUAUGAAUUUGGAGAACUGCUAAACAGGUGAUAUUUCAGGUAGAGGGGAUUCAAGGAAGUCAUAGAAUCAUAGAAUCAUAGAGUUGGAAUAGACCACAAGGGCCAUUGAGUCCAACCCCCUGCCAAGCAGGAAACACCAUCAGAGCACUCCUGACAUAUGGUUGUCAAGCCUCUGCUUAAAGACCUCCAAAGAAGGAGACUCCACCACACUCCUUGGCAGCAAAUUCCACUGUCGAACAGCUCUUACUGUCAGGAAGUUCUUCCUAAUGUUUAGGUGGAGUCUUCUUUCUUGUAGUUUGGAUCCAUUGCUCCGUGUCCGCUUCUCUGGAGCAGCAGAAAACAACCUUUCUCCCUCCUCUAUGUGACAUCCUUUUAUGUCUUUGAACAUGGCUAUCAUAUCACCCUUUAACCUCCUCUUCUCCAGGCUAAACAUGCCCAGCUCCCUUAGCUGUUCCUCAUAAGGCAUCGUUUCCAGGCCUUUGACCAUUUUGGUUGCCCUCGUCUGGACACGUUCCAGUUUGUCAGUGUCCUUCUUGAACUGUGGUGCCCAGAACUGGACACAGUACUCCAGGUGAGGUCUGACCAGAGCAGAAUACAGUGGCACUAUUACUUCCCUUGAUCUAGAUGCUAUACUCCUAUUGAUGCAGCCCAGAAUUGCAUUGGCUUUUUUAGCUGCCGCGUCACACUGUUGGCUCAUGUCAAGUUUGUGGUCAACCAAGACUCCUAGAUCCUUUUCACAUGUACUGCUCUCAAGCCAGGUGUCCCCCCAUCUUGUAUUUGUGCCUCUCAUUUUUUUUGCCCAAGUGCAAUACUUUACAUUUCUCCCUGUUAAAAUUCAUCUUGUUUGUUUUGGCCCAGUUCUCUAAUCUGCCAAGGUCGUUUUGAAGUGUGAUCCUGUCCUCUGGGGUGUUAGCCACCCCUCCCAGUUUGGUGUCAUCUGCAAAUUUGAUCAGGAUGCCCUUGAGUCCAUCAUCCAAGUCGUUGAUAAAGAUGUUGAAUAAGACCAGGCCCAAGACAGAACCCUGUGGCACCCCACUAGUCAAAGUCAGUUAUCAAUGAAAUGAAACUAGG
RNAcentral lists this long non-coding RNA (8912 nucleotides) under Podarcis lilfordi (Lilford's wall lizard). Lineage: Eukaryota; Metazoa; Chordata; Lepidosauria; Squamata; Lacertidae. The record is from RNAcentral.